This 903-nucleotide unclassified non-coding RNA is filed under the name Hevea brasiliensis (rubber tree). The record is from RNAcentral. Lineage: Eukaryota; Viridiplantae; Streptophyta; Magnoliopsida; Malpighiales; Euphorbiaceae.
AGAACUUGCUUUAAAUCUUUUUGACAUUAUAUGGAUAUAUGUAUGUAUUUAAGUGUUGAAGGCAAAUUAGGUGUAACCACUUAAGCUUAAACAGUCAACCUAUCAACAACUGAAAGUUGGCCCUCUAGUGAGCUAAUUUUGAGCCUACAUUAUUCCUAUUCUUUGUAAUUAAGCCACAUUAUAAGCCUUAGCCUGUAAAAUAAGUGUUUCUACCCUACCAUAGGAUUAGUAGAGCAUUUAAAACUUUUUUAAUGGGUUUUGGUUAGAAUGUAUGUAAAAAUGUUAGUGAAUUGGGGAUAUGAGUACGAAAGUAUACAUUUGGAUGUUCUUGUGACUGAAAAAGAAAAGUGAAAAGUAAGGAAUGAAAAGCAAAAAAUUCAAAAAAAUAAAAAAAGAAUAAAGGGUGAAUUUGCAUUCAUUCCUAUACCGACAUUCCUAUAAUGAGAGGGCAUCAAUUAUUAUAAUUAUUGCUGUUGAAAAGGUGUGAACAAGAGAGUUGAAGCUAGAAAAGAGCCUGUUUUGUAAUGUGAUGAAUUCUGGUUGGUACAUGUUUUAUAUUGUGAAUUCAUGAGUUUUGAAUGCUCCACUAAUUUCUUCGAUUUUUAAAAUUGUUUAUCCUUUAUUCCACACUUUACCCUAGCCCCACUACAACCCUGAUAAAGACCUUCUGAUUUAUUUUAUGCAUAUGAUCUAAUUAAUGGAGAUGAGAUGAACAAGCAAGCUUAUGGUAAGUUAUGUUCAUGGAUUGAAUUUUGAGAGAAAACACUUCACCCCAAAAACAUAAGAGAUGGAGUGAUUCUUAUGCCUAUUUAAGGAUCCUCCAUGUUGGUAUGUUUAGCUUUUUAAUGAGAUUGCUAUCUUAAGUAAAGUUCUAAUGUAUGUGAAAAGAUUUUUUUCAUGAUA